Salmo trutta (river trout) is the source of this 5314-nucleotide long non-coding RNA. Ensembl lists it as uncharacterized. Lineage: Eukaryota; Metazoa; Chordata; Actinopteri; Salmoniformes; Salmonidae. The record is from Ensembl.
AGCCAUCACUACUAGCUCACACUCCAGUUGACCCACUCCACUACACCAUAGACAAGGAUACUAUAGAUACCUCCCUUACAACCUGUUACAAUAUUCUCAAUAUUCAAACAAGUAAAGGUGGGAAGACAUGCCUUGUAGGCUUGGAGGAUAAUACUAAAGUGCUCCUCUGAUUGCUGUGUCUUUUUCUUUUUCAGAUGGAUGACGUCCACAGCCCUUUGCCAGAGUCUGACAAAUAUCUGGGUGUAUUUGAUAUAAUCUUCAGGUAAGCUCUAAUGUUGAAUUUAAAAUUCUGCCAUUGAAAAAAUAUAUAAUUCUUAAGGACAUUGACAAUUGUACGUUAUAAUUAUUUUUGACUACUGGUCUCACUCUUGCAGUAAUGGAUCAGUCAUUGCAAACUCGACAUUAAUGUUUAUGACUACAUUCAUGAUCAUUCCAACUUUGGUUAAAGGUCUACUUUCCACUCAUAUCCAAUCAAAUAAAUCCAAAACCCUUGCUCUGGACCUCGCCUAUACUGAAGGUAAAGAAGAUGGCAACCUUAUCUACUUCUGCUGUGUAGAAGCCUGAUUCAUUUGUAUGUUAAAAAAACUGUUUUGUAAAUAGCUUAAGAAACUGUUAUUAGUCAAAUAAAGCAGGAAUCACAAAUAUGUUCUUUAUUCCUUAGGUCAACUUCCAAUAAAAGCCACACUACCUCUUGUAGCACGUACCACAGCAACCGUAACUUCCUCACCACCAUCUACCACAAAUACCCCUGCAGCGACGACUACUACAGCUGCCUUAGUUAGUACGGCUAGCAGUUCAGGAAGGGUCGGGAUGACAUUGCAUCUACAGCAAUGAUUUCAUCUGGCAACAUCACCAGUCUUGCAACAGUUAGUAUCACAAGUAGUCAUACCCUCACAACCACCACCACUAGUCCUGACCAAAACAGUACAAUUAGCAGCAUUACCACUCAUAUUCCUGAAGACCAUAGCAGUACAAUUAGCAGCAUUACCACUCAUAUUCCUGAAGAACAUAACAGUACAAUUAGCAGCAUUACCACUCAUAUUCCUGAAGAACAUAACACUACAAUUAGCAACAUUACCACUCAUAUUCCUGAAGACCAUAACAGUACAAUUAGCAGCAUUACCACUCAUAUUCCUGAAGAACAUAACACUACAAUUAGCAACAUUACCACUCAUAUUCCUGAAGACCAUAACAGUACAAUUAGCAGCAUUACCACUCAUAUUCCUGAAGAACAUAACACUACAAUUAGCAACAUUACCACUCAUAUUCCUGAAGAACAUAACACUACAAUUAGCAGCAUUACCACUCAUAUUCCUGAAGAACAUAACACUACAAUUAGCAGCAUUACCACUCAUAUUCUUGAAGAACAUAACACUACAAUUAGCAGCAUUACCACUCAUAUUCCUGAAGAACAAUACACAACAAUUAGCAGCAUUACCACUCAUAUUCCUGAAGAACAUAACACUACAAUUAGCAGCAUUACCACUCAUAUUCCUGAAGAACAAUACACUACAAUUAGCAGCAUUACCACUCAUAUUCCUGAAGAACAUAACACUACAAUUAGCAGCAUUACCACUCAUAUUCCUGAAGAACAAUACACUACAAUUAGCAGCAUUACCACUCAUAUUCCUGAAGAACAUAACACUACAAUUAGCAGCAUUACCACUCAUAUUCCUGAAGAACAAUACACUACAAUUAGCAGCAUUACCACUCAUAUUCCUGAAGAACAUAACACUACAAUUAGCAACAUUACUACUCAUAUUCCUGAAGACCAAAACACAACAAUUAGCAACGUAACCACCCAUAUUCCUGGAGACCAUAACACUACAAUUAGCAACACAACCACCCCUAUUACCCCUAAAAAUCCUCCCCAGACCAGUAACACGACAGUCUUUCGUAAAACCUCUCCAUCAACAACUACCUCGGGCCAAUCUAACCCCCCAGUUGCCCCUACUGAGAGAGCAACAAGCAAGUAUCAGGCUGCUACGGGCCAAACAACCAGUCAUAAGAACACAGAGAAUACGGAGGUGACCCAUAAGACCACAGAGAAUGCUGCAGCUGUAGUUGCUGGGGGCAGAGAGGGAGUCCCAGGAUGGGGGAUCGCUCUAUUGGUACUGGCUGCCCUGAUCUUGUUAAUCCUCCUUAUUCUCCUAAUACUGCUGCUAGUGUGGUUGUGCUGUAGGCAGAGAGAUGGAAGCUUCAGCCCAUAUAACCAGAUCAACCACGGGGCAGACAUCCAAAUGUACUCCACACACAGCCGCUUCGACGUGCCCAACGGCAAGCCUAAUGUAAGUCCUAUGUCUUGGCAGAGAGGCCAGAUAGACACACACACACAGGCUCAGAUUCUGCAUUCAGCAGGUUGGCUAUGGUUACUAAGACUGGCCGCUCUGCCUCAGUGUUAGAUAGAUGUCUCUUUGUGCCCUUCUGGUUUUGACCAGGGAAACCUGAGGCGUGGGAAACACUAGCCUUCCCCUCUACCCUCUCAGCCGAACUACCCCUGUAGCUUCCAGAGAGGGUCGCAAGCCAUACUCCUCCCCCCAAGCCACCUAUUUUCAUUUGAUGCACCAAGUUGCUUAUCUCCGAAAUCAAACCCCCACAUAAGCAGAUAUUCUUGGUAGACCAGACAACCAAUUAAACACAAUCAUCUGUGAGCUGUGAGUUUAUAGCUUUAAUCCUGCCUUGGGUACGUAUGAGGGAUGAUACCAGAGUUAUCAUCCAAGGACCUUCCUGUAUGGGACAUGUUACUCAUCAAUAUCACUUUGAAUGACUGGCAACACCCUGAUUUGACUGAAAAAAGGUAGUGUUUAUUGUGGACAUAAAAAAUAUAUAUUCUCGAUUGAGCUAUGAAAGGGAUGCUAAAUACAAAUGCCAUGGGAUCUACCAACGUCAGGGAGAGUGAGAUCUCUCCCUUAACACCAAACAAAAAGACCAUUGACUGUACUAAUGAGACUUGCAUGUUCAUCACACUGCAGUGCACACCUCAAGCACACACACACACACAUGAGAGGUUGUGAAGUGAGGAGGAAAUCUACUCAGGUUUUUUCUAGCGUUGAUAUGUAUGCAUCAUAGAUAUUUGUUUAGUAUUGGAAAUGUACAGUUUGAGUUAGCUUACACUGUAUAUUGCUUAUAUUCAAUCUACUGUAUAAGGAUAUUGUUGCGUAUAUGUGUUUAUGCACUUCAUAUAAUUGUGUUACAUUUACGUAGAUAUAUUUUUUAAUUCUGUGUUGCUGCUAGCGGUGGUAUGAACAUGUUUGUCAUGUUGUUUUGGAAAGGGGACAGUGGAAGACAUUGGAGGACUAUUUGUUCACAGCCUCCAACUCUCCUUGAUCAAUUUACUGAGCAUGGUCGUUCCGUACUAGUCUGCCAACAUUUUCUCAGAGACUGACUAGCAUAUAAUGAGAAGAGUGCCCCCUCUGUCACCUGUCUCUAUGGCAACGGACAGCAGACAGACACAUUGUAAUCCACAACCACUGUUCUCUUUACAUGACCUUCUCCUCCCAAAGCCCUUUUUAUUGAUGAAUCACCGGUUUGAUUUAUUGUUACAAUUCAGCAGAAUGGAUGUCUUUCAAGCUUCGUUAACUAAGGCUUUAGAACAGACGAACAUCUGUAAGAUAAGCUAACAUUGCAGUUCUAUACAACAGGUCAAAAACAGACUGCAAUAUUCAGUUUUGCCUGUAAAUUAUUUUGUGUGCAGUAUUAUCUUUACAGACUGUUUUAAACCUUUGAUGAGAUGAUACUUUCUCUGAUACAGGGUGAAAUGGGGGGACCAUUGAAAAACCGAACAGGGAUGCAUGUGGUGAACGAGUACUGACACAUAGGUACAGUAGGUGACACACUUUCUGUAUGCUUAUGUACUUCAGUGGUACUGUCAGGUACACAGAGGAAGUGUAGUUUCAUGUUUUAAAUUCCAGGAGACAAUCUCCCCUGAAUGCUUUCUUUCCUUCUAUACAUCAGGGGGAUGGGGUUCAAUGUGAGGUUUGAAUAGGUAGACUACUGAUUAUUGUAGAUAUAGGUGUGUAGAGAUGUGUCAACAUACAUAUUGAUUAAACACAUUGAAGUAACUUCCUAAGAAAACACAUCACUCAUGUAAUGUUGAAGAUACUGUAUAUAUUUAAUUGAAGUAAUUGACUGUUUUUACGAUUGGUUGUUUUUUUGUCCCUUCCCUACUUCUCUUUCCUCCAGAAGCUCCAGUCAAUUGGGUAAGAAGACCAUCUGAAAUGACCUUAUGAAGUAAUAUGCAUGGGAGCAAUGACAAUUCUGUACAAAUGGUCCAAUUAUCUCUGAAGAUCAUGGCGUUGGCUCACUGAUUGUAAUUUCAACCUGUAUUUAUUCAAAUCAAAUUGAUUUAUAAAGCCCUUUUUACAUCCGCUGGUGUCACAAAGUGCUAUACAGAAACGCAGCCUAAAACCCCAAACAGCAAGCAAUGCAGAUGUCCUGUUAUUUUAUUCCUAAUGUUUUUACCAGUGGAGGCUGCUGAGGGGAGGACGGCUCAUAAUAAUAGCCGGAAUGGAGUCAAUGGAAUGGUAUCAAACACGUGGUUUCCAUGUGAAUGGUAUCAAACACAUGGUUUCCAUGUGAAUGGUAUCAAACACAUGGUUUCCAUGUGGUUGUUACCAUUCCAUUGACUCCAUUUGUAUUUCGUAUUAUUCUGUACGUAAAUCAGAGACACUCCAUUUAGUAUAUGUUACUCCUCCCCGACCAACCUCCCUACUUUAGUUUCUGUCUAAAGUAACCAGGCCAUUGAAAGGUAUCAUAUGUCUUGAUGUGCUCAGAAAUAUAUAAAUGAUGUUUCUAAUGGCUCUGAGGCCAUGCUAGCCAUUUUGGCUUCCUUGUGGUUAUGGGUUGAGUUGUAUUUUCAGUCUUUACUGAAGGCAAGCUUAACCUUGGUAAAAAAGAAAGCUGAUCCUAGAUCAGUAAAUGGGGUCAACAUAUGUAUCCUGCAAUUAACAUUGAAGAAGAAUGAGUAGGGGUGCCCCUAAGGACAAUACCCAAUCAGGUACAGUUAACAAGAAGUUAAUUGUUUUCAAAGACUGUAAAUCAAACCUUUUGACUUGGGCUGAGAGAUCCAGAUCUAAUUCCCUACCACUGGAUAAGACAUGUUUUGAGAUAGGAUACUAGCAUGCCAACAAGUUAACUAUUCCACAAACCCAACCCAGUGAGUAAAACACCAAUGUUAUGUAUAUUUGACAAUCUGAUUAAAUAAAUCCACCAUUAUUAAUCAAAUCUGUGAGAUGUAACUAUCUGUAAACAUUUGAAGUGACUGUGCAUUGGAGCUUUGAACUUUGCAUUAAAAAAAUCUAAAUAAUUUUGGGAU